RNAcentral lists this ribosomal RNA (253 nucleotides) under uncultured bacterium. RNAcentral's name for it is "partial 16S ribosomal RNA". It matches the Rfam family "Bacterial small subunit ribosomal RNA", at positions 524 to 776 of the family's 1533-position model. The record is from RNAcentral.
GACGAAGGGGGCUAGCGUUGUUCGGAAUUACUGGGCGUAAAGCGAGUGUAGGUGGUUGUCAUAGUCAGGUGUGAAAGCCUUGAGCUCAACUCAAGAAAUGCACUUGAUACUGGGCGACUAGAGGACCGAAGAGGAUAGUGGAAUUCCCAGUGUAGUGGUGAAAUACGUAGAGAUUGGGAAGAACACCAGUGGCGAAGGCGGCUAUCUGGACGGUUUCUGACACUAAGACUCGAAAGCGUGGGGAGCAAACAGG